GCCAGGAUGGUCUGGAUCUCCUGACCUCAUGAUCCGCCUGCCUUGGCCUCCCAAAGUGCUGGGAUUACAGGCGUGAGCCACUGCGCCUGAUCUUUUUUUUUUAGACCGGGUCUUGCUCUGUCACCCAGGCUGGAGUACAGUGAGGUGAACAUGGCUUACUGCAGGCUCAAGUGAUCCCCCUGCCUCAGUCUCCCAAGUACCUGGGAUCACAGGCAUGCACCACUACACCCAGCUAAUUUUUAAAAAUUUUUUGUAGAGACAGGAUCUCACUUUGUUGCCCAGGCUGGUCUCAAGCUCAAGUGAUCCUCCUGUCUCAGCCCCCCAAAGAGCUGGGAUUACAGGCGUGAGCCACCAUGCCCAGCCCAUUCUCUCUUUUAAUGUUAGUAUAACUAUACAUUUGUAAGCAGGAUCAUGGCAUAGUGAAAAGUAACUUUUAGGAUCAGAUAUGCCUGGAAUUAAAUUCCAUUUGCUAUUUAUCAACUGUGUGGUCUUGAGCAGGUUAACCUGUUAGUGCCUCACUUUCCUCCACUGUAAAAUAAGAAUACAACCCAUCUUGCAGUGUUGUGAGGAUUAGGAAUGACAGCUAUCAAUCUUCUGCCAUUUUGCUUCAGAAUUUUACAAAAUUAUACAAGUAAAAAAAUGAGUAAAUAUAUUCUCCUUACAAACAAAUUUAGAAUUACAAAAUAUGAAAUUACUUGCUGACCCUAUCCCUUCCCAUCUUGCCAGUAGUAACCACUAAUGUUAGUUUGGUGCAUACUGAUAGACUAAAUAUACAAACGGACAAGGACCAGACCAUAUAUGUCAAUAGAACUCGGACACACAACCUCUGCAGCAACCAGCCUGGGAAGCCAAACCACAAGCUCUGAUACAAUUGGUUCUGAAGUGUCAGUGCUUGGUCAAUGACUGUCAGCUUUUAACUCAGGACCAACCAGACAAAGCCAAAUGUACUCCCCAAACCAAUCACAUAAGAUGGCUCACUUGUAAUUACCCACCUCUAGCUUCCCAAACCAAGUUUCCAAUUGUAGCAUUUGUGAAUCUUCCCUCUUUUCACUAUAAAGCUUUUCAUUUCUGCUUUGGCUGCCUGUGAGUAUCUGCCAAACACAAGCGAUGGUGUUUGACUCCCUUGUUUUAGUAAGCAAUGAAUAAAUAGCCUCUGAUUGUUCUCAUUUUGGGUGGUCUCUGUUUAUUUCCAUGGUAUGGUUCCAGUCUUUUUAUUGUGGAAAUAUAGAUGGACAUUUAUAUGUGUAUAUCCCUGGGAAAUAUAUACCAUUUUGUGGACUUUUAAAAGCAAAAAUGUUACACGUAUUGAUUUAUAUCUUGUUUUUUUUCUCAAAAAUAUCCAGGAAAUCUAUGCAUGUUAAUUCAUCUUGAUUAUUUUAACUGGAGGGAGGUAGUAAUAUCUGUCUUGGUGUCUUUAACACAGCUCUGUGGUGCUGCCUACUUCAGUGCUUGCUUUCCUGUCUAUGUCUAUCACAGAGACGUUCUUUUUACCUUUACACCCCCAUCCUACUUCCCUUUCACCUGCAUCCCCAGCUUACUCCUUUACUACGUAUCCUUUGAACUGCAGUCGAUUCACCAUGAUCUUGGCUGGCUGUCUUCUUCCUUCAUGGCUGCUAGUAAUGACAAUUCAGUGGCUGUUUCUUCAGCUGUGCAAAGUUGGAACAUGUUUGGGAGUUCAACGGCAUUGGUUUCUGGUUGGUAAAUGUCCUGUUUAUUGCCUGUUCAAUUUCCUCAUUACUGACUGUGAGAAAUUACAAGUCUUAUUCAUGCUGGAUUCUUUUACCUUGAGUCAGUUUUCAGUUGUAUGUAAGAAAUUUUUUCCAAUGAAUUAAACAUACCAACCUUAGAAACUGGCUUGUGAAGGAAGUAAAAUAAAGUCAAAUGCUUCAUUUAUCUUUGCUUUUACCAAAUAAUUUAGGUAAACUUUGCAGUCACCCAAAUAAUGUCCCUCCUGGUAAAUACCAAAACAUUCAGAAUUAGGACACCUGAUGGUAAGGACUAAGAAGAAUCACUUUUAAGAUCUGCCCAUUUGCAUGGGCUGCUAAAGCCUCUAGACCAUGUAAGAACAAUUUAAUGAAGUGAUACUAGUGUAGACUCUGGGAUAAUAUAGCUUGCAUGUGUUUUUUGUUGUUGUUGUUUUGUUUUGUUUUGAGACAGGGUAUUGCUCUGUCUCCCAGACUGGAGUGCAGUGGUGUGAUCUUGGCUCACUGCAACCUCCGCCUUCUGGGUUCAAGCGAUUCUUGUGCCUCAGCCUCCAGAGUAGCUGGGAUUACAGGCAUGUGCCACCACACCCAGCUAAUUUUUGUAGUUUUAGUAGGGACAGGGUUUCACCAUGUUGGCCAGGCUGGCCUCAUGUGAUCUGUCUGCCUUGGCCUCCCAAACUGCUGGGAUUAUAGGUGUGAGCCACCGUGCCUAGCCUAACCUGAUUUGAAUCCUCAUUCCUCUGGUUUAAUGAACUUGGGCAAAUUUUAUAACUUCUUUGAGUCUAAGUUUUCUCAUGUUUUUAAUGAAGAUGAAAUUACUUACCUUUGUAAGUAAUGUUUGUUGGAGAGGAAAAUCUUUUCCUCUACCCUCUUAGGUUCAGUUCUUGAGGGCCUGGGAAUUAAACUUAGACAAAACAUAGAUUUUUAUUCACGCAGGAGCACACAGAAAAAUGUGACUCUAAACAACUAAAGAUGGGGGUUUAUAUACCUAAUAGGGGAGAGGUUACUUAAUGGGGGAGAAGAAGGGGGGAGUAAAGCCCUCUAUGUAGGGAAGAACAAAUGAGUAUUUAGGGGAAGAAAUGAAAAAGAAGAAGGUUUGUGAUAAUGUUUGUUUAUGCAGGUGCAAGCGGUCUUCUCUGUCUUCUUUAUGGCCAGUAAAAUUCUCCAGAAGAGAUUUAUGGCAGCCUCACUCCCAGUAGUUUCUGCAUUUAGUGAGAUAAGGAAUGGAUUUUCUUCUGUGUAUUGCUGACACGAACAGGAGACGGAAAUACUGAGUAGAAGAGGGCGGUUCCCUGGCUAAGGCCCCACCCUCAAGCCUGGAUACCCGCGGCCC
Molecule: long non-coding RNA, 3036 nt
Organism: Homo sapiens (human)
Lineage: Eukaryota; Metazoa; Chordata; Mammalia; Primates; Hominidae
Gene: SLC12A2-DT
Product: SLC12A2 divergent transcript
Source: Ensembl